CGACGCAACGCGAAGAACCUUACCCAGGCUCGAACGGCUCUGGACAGCUGUGGAAACACAGUCUCUUCCCUUCGGGGAAGUCGGAGUCGAGGUGCUGCAUGGCUGUCGUCAGCUCGUGUCGUGAGAUGUUGGGUUAAGUCCCGCAACGAGCGCAACCCUUGUCGUUAGUUACCAGCGGGUCAUGCCGGGGACUCUAGCGAGACUGCCCGUGAUAAACGGGAGGAAGUGGGGAUGACGUCAAGUCCUCAUGGCCCUUACGUCUGGGGCUACACACGUGCUACAAUGGCCGGUACAGAGAGAAGCAAGCCCGCGAGGGGGAGCAAACCUUUAAAACCGGUCCCAGUUCGGAUCGGAGUCUGCAAUUCGACUCCGUGAAGUUGGAAUCGCUAGUAAUCGCGGAUCAGCACGCCGCGGUGAAUACGUUCCCGGGCCUU
This 434-nucleotide ribosomal RNA is filed under the name uncultured Gemmatimonadaceae bacterium. Its description in RNAcentral is "bacterial SSU rRNA". It matches the Rfam family "Bacterial small subunit ribosomal RNA", at positions 952 to 1382 of the family's 1533-position model. Lineage: Bacteria; Pseudomonadati; Gemmatimonadota; Gemmatimonadia; Gemmatimonadales; Gemmatimonadaceae. The record is from RNAcentral.